Chelonoidis abingdonii (Abingdon island giant tortoise) is the source of this 898-nucleotide long non-coding RNA. RefSeq lists it as uncharacterized. The record is from RefSeq and is a predicted model, not a curated record. NCBI's taxonomy places the organism in Eukaryota, Metazoa, Chordata, Testudines, Testudinidae.
GUACUGCACUUGGGUGGUGGCAGAAUCUACCAAUCCAAGAGAAAUUGGUACAUCCCACUAAGAAUGAAAUAAUUCUAUGUGGCCUCUUGGUCUUUAUCAGUGGGUUAGUGUGACAAGUUCCUCCUGGGUGCCACCUGGAACUGGGGUAUCAUUGAGCCCCCGACCCACCAGUCUGGAGUCUCUUUCACAUUGUACUGCUGUGACAAGCUGCAAAGCCUUCCAGCCUGCACUCUCACCAGCAUUCCUACAGAUGGAGCCAGCAGCAACCAGGACUGUUUUCAGUAUCUAGGGGCAUUCCUUUCCAUUGAUGCAACACAGAACCAGCUUGAGCCCCCCCCAUUAACCUUGGAAAAUUACACACCAUCCCUGGGCGGACUUUAACGACUACACCAGAACCCGACCCUGAAACCUCACCGCUCAUGAGGAAGACUGAUGAGCAUGACGACCUCUUUUUUUCUGCUCCCCCUGGAAGAGGAAGGUGACUGUAGCUCAUGGGAGUUGCCAGCAGACAAGGUGAACAGAAAAGACAUUGCACAGGGAAAAGCUUUUUGCAGAUUGUGAGGGCUGUGUCAUAGAUUUGCCAGGCCACCAGCACCAUGACUGUGUGACUUGGACUUCAGAGGAUAUAUACUUCAAGCUCUGGGUGCUGACCUGUGUUUGGAAAGGUUAUUAAAUGCUGUUAUUGCCAUAGGUUAUGCUUUGCAAUGUCUGAGCCUAACCCAGGAAAAUUUUGCACAAAGAGUGACCUUGGUAAAUGCUGUGCAAAGCACUCGAGCCCCUGACAGUGUUCUAAAGAAAAUGACCAAACUGGGGGAUACCACUUAGCGCGUUAUAUUGACCAUCUGGUCUGCACAAUAAGUUACAGAACCUUGCUUAGGAAAAAGACUACACCUCUACC